UCGGGUGGGAUUCGAACCCACGACCCUUGCAAUUCUAGAGCAGUGCCAACUUCAAUGAAGUUAUGACCAGAUAUAAAUUUGUACCUUUUCUUUUACUUAACAUUAGUUGGACUUUUUCCUAAUCAAGUUUACAGUGUCAUCUAUACCCCUGAGUUUAUCUAUAUCAAAUGCGUUGGUAAAGAAUUGGAAAAUAACCCUUUUUUUCAUCCAUUCAGUUGUAGAUACAGAGGUGGCUGAUCAGCUGUGGGGAGUGUACAACUUGGCUUUGGUAUUCUGUUGAUUCUUCAACCUCCUUUAACACCUGGAGUAAAUUGGUCUGGAAGUGACUGCAAGCUGAAGGGACAGGUCAACCUGAUAACUGGCGUUUCAGCUCACACCAAGGAAGCAAAAUGCAAGGUCAAAAACUGACAUCUUUGGAGUUACAAGUUAAAAUAGUUGAAAUGCCACUGAAAUUGGAUCAUUAUCAGAGCUAAAGUACAUCCUGGUUGUUGAGCGACUGCAAGUAUUCAGUCCAUCUGGAUGCUCUAACAUGGUGGAGGGGAAACUGUAGUGUGGAGUACAUGCUCCUUGAAGGCCGAGUAGAGAGUCAUAGUACAGUUUUAAGGCAAACCUGACCAGAGAAACAUUCAGAGAUGGUCACGAGAGGGCAACAUAUUGUACCUAGCAUAAGUGGUGGAUCACGCUGUAACAUUGCUGGACACUUUGAGAGCUGAAGAUAGUCCCUUGAGAAAGUUUUGGGGCAAUCCUGACUGGAGGAACAUUCAUUGGAUGCCAUCAGAUAGGGCCAUGGUACUCAGCAUAGGAAGUGGAUCACCGCUGAUUAAGAACAUGGCUGGACACUUUGAGAGCUGAAGAGAGUCCCUUGAGAAAGUUUUGGGGCAAUCGUGACUGGAGGAACAUUCAUUGGAUGCCAUCAGAUAGGGCCAUUGUACUCAGCAUAGGCUGAUUCAGAAUAUUGCUGGGCACUUGCAGAGCUUUUAAAGAAUCCCUUGAGAAAGUUUUCAAGCAAAGGUCAGAUGGAAGCAACCCAUUAAGGAGGAACAUGGUACGCAGCUGCUGAUGGAACAUUGUCGACUGUGCUGAUACCACAACAAGUGGGACUCUCAAGUUAACUUCAGGGUUCUAGAAAUGGACAUGGGAGAUAGAGGACGUAGAGCACACAAAUAUGUAGAUGUAGUCCUUGAUGGCAUGUACAGGUAGGGCUUAACAAUUUAGAACAAAAGUUUCAGAGUUUGUUGAAAGAUGUUGAAAAACUAUUCAUACAAAAGAAACUUCAGAUUCUCGAUCAUACAUGUUGUAUAGAUUCAGCCUACCUUGCUACAAGCUGAACUAAGAUGUGGCUUUUGUUGAUGUAAUGUCUACUCAUGCCAGCACGGUGAUUUAAAAGUUGCGCAUAAAAUAGUAAAACUUCUUAAGGGUCUUGUAAUGCGAGUGCAGGGCAGUGAUUGGAGCUCUCUUGUUUUAGCAUAGUGAAGUGUGACUCCAGGUAUUUAAACACUAGUUGUUGCAGUACUGUACAGGUUUAUGUGGUAUAAGCACCGAUCCAAUUUCAAUGGGUUUCUGAAUUGACUGUUUAGAGCAUUAGAGAGUGUCGGAUAUUCACAAGGAGUUUGCAGCUCAUCAUACAACCAUCAACGUCGAUGCCUCAACCUUUUUGUACAGUUUGUAAUUAGUUGUAGAUUACAGGUAUAGAUUUUACGUUGUUAAUUGUGUGGUGAAUUGUUCACACUUUCCCUUUUUGAGAAUUGAUCACACUUGCCCCUGUGAAAUUCUGCACUUCCCCUGUGUUGUGAAUUUCUUGCACAUCCAAUUUGUGUUGUGAGUUUCUCCCACUUCCACUAUGAGUGGCUCAUACUUUUACUUUGUGUCGUGAAUUAUCAAGUUUAUAAACUGAAACGUUGUAUAGGGCUGAGUUGGAAGAAUGUUUCGCUAUUGUAGCACAUUCGUUAAGCUAACUAAAUUUAGAUGUAUGCUGAUGUAUGGAGUUGACAAACUUGGUUGCCAUAUAGUGGAGCCGGUAUGGGAACUUUUCCCCACGGGGGUUUUUGCCCAUCUCAUAUAUCAGCAAUUAGCAGGCAUGCAAUAUCUUAUUCAUAUGGUUUUGGUUUUCACAGCCAUAACAUUUUUUCAAAACACAGCACAAAGUCUUGCUGUGCCUGGUCUUCUGGAAAUGUUGAUUCUUUUAUACAAAAUACAGUACGGACAAAUUUCCCCUGUGUUUCUCUGAGUUGCUCACACUUCCUUUGUGUGUUGAGUAUACAGACACUUUCCCCAGUGUUUCUCU
Molecule: long non-coding RNA, 2284 nt
Organism: Asterias rubens (European starfish)
Lineage: Eukaryota; Metazoa; Echinodermata; Asteroidea; Forcipulatida; Asteriidae
Exons: 4
Source: RefSeq, a predicted model, not a curated record